RNAcentral lists this ribosomal RNA (431 nucleotides) under uncultured bacterium. RNAcentral describes it as "partial 16S ribosomal RNA". It matches the Rfam family "Bacterial small subunit ribosomal RNA", at positions 338 to 795 of the family's 1533-position model. The record is from RNAcentral.
CCUACGGGUGGCAGCAGUGGGGAAUAUUGCACAAUGGGCGAAAGCCUGAUGCAGCAACGCCGCGUGAGGGACGACGGCCUUCGGGUUGAAACCUCUUUUAGUAGGGAAGCGGUACCUGCAGAAAAAGCACCGGCUAACUACGUGCCAGCAGCCGCGGUAAUACGUAGGGUGCAAGCGUUGUCCGGAAUUAUUGGGCGUAAAGAGCUCGUAGGCGGUUUGUCGCGUCUGCUGUGAAAUCCCGAGGCUCAACCUCGGGCUUGCAGUGGGUACGGGCAGACUAGAGUGCGGUAGGGGAGAUUGGAAUUCCUGGUGUAGCGGUGGAAUGCGCAGAUAUCAGGAGGAACACCGAUGGCGAAGGCAGAUCUCUGGGCCGUACUGACGCUGAGGAGCGAAAGCAUGGGGAGCGAACAGGAUUAGAUACCCUUGUAGUC